This 468-nucleotide ribosomal RNA is filed under the name uncultured bacterium. RNAcentral describes it as "partial 16S ribosomal RNA". It matches the Rfam family "Bacterial small subunit ribosomal RNA", at positions 28 to 507 of the family's 1533-position model. The record is from RNAcentral.
GACGAACGCUGGCGGCGUGCUUAACACAUGCAAGUCGAACGGAAAGGCCCUGCUUUCGUGGGGUGCUCGAGUGGCGAACGGGUGAGUAACACGUGAGUAACCUGCCCUUGACUUUGGGAUAACUUCAGGAAACUGGGGCUAAUACCGGAUAGGAGCUCCUGCUGCAUGGUGGGGGUUGGAAAUUUUCGGCGGUUGGGGAUGGACUCGCGGCUUAUCAGCUUGUUGGUGGGGUAGUGGCUUACCAAGGCUUUGACGGGUAGCCGGCCUGAGAGGGUGACCGGCCACAUUGGGACUGAGAUACGGCCCAGACUCCUACGGGAGGCAGCAGUGGGGAAUAUUGCACAAUGGGAGGAAGCCUGAUGCAGCAACGCCGCGUGCGGGAUGACGGCCUUCGGGUUGUAAACCGCUUUCGCCUGUGACGAAGCGUGAGUGACGGUAAUGGGUAAAGAAGCACCGGCUAACUACGUG